CCUACGGGAGACAGCAGUGAGGAAUAUUGGUCAAUGGACGAGAGUCUGAACCAGCCAAGUAGCGUGAAGGAUGACUGCCCUCUGGGUUGUAAACUUCUUUUAUAUGGGAAUAAAAUGUUCCACGUGUGGGAUUUUGUAUGUACCAUAUGAAUAAGGAUCGGCCAACUCCGUGCCAGCAGCCGCGGUAAUACGGAGGAUCCGAGCGUUAUCCGGAUUUAUUGGGUUUAAAGGGAGCGUAGGUGGAUUGUUAAGUCAGUUGUGAAAGGUUGCGGCUCAACCGUAAAAUUGCAGUUGAAACUGGCAGUCUUGAGUACAGGAGAGGUAAGCGGAAUUCGUGGUGUAGCGGUGAAAUGCUUAGAUAUCACGAAGAACACCGAUGGCGAAGGCAGUUCACUGGACUGCAACUGACACUGAGGCUCGAAAGUGUGGGGAUCAAACAGGAUUAGAUACCCUUGUAGUC
Molecule: ribosomal RNA, 460 nt
Filed under: uncultured bacterium
Lineage: Bacteria
Description: partial 16S ribosomal RNA
Rfam family: Bacterial small subunit ribosomal RNA
Source: RNAcentral